UGUGAUGGGGAGCGAAAUUUAGUAGCGAAGUAGCUGAUUUCACACUGUCAAGAAAAGUCUCUAUCGAGGUUAAAGGUACCCGUACCGCAAACCGACACAGGUGGGUGAGGAGAGUAUCCUAAGGCCAGCGAGAGAACUGUUGUUAAGGAACUCGGCAAAAUGACCCCGUAACUUAGGGAUAAGGGGUGCCACCAUCAGGUGGCCGCAGAGAAUAGGCCCAAGCGACUGUUUACCAAAAACAUAGGUUUCUGCUAAGUCGCAAGACGAUGUAUAGGAGCUGACGCCUGCCCGGUGCUGGAAGGUUAA
RNAcentral lists this ribosomal RNA (306 nucleotides) under Clostridioides difficile. RNAcentral's name for it is "partial 23S ribosomal RNA". It matches the Rfam family "Bacterial large subunit ribosomal RNA", at positions 1562 to 1880 of the family's 2925-position model. The record is from RNAcentral. Lineage: Bacteria; Bacillati; Bacillota; Clostridia; Peptostreptococcales; Peptostreptococcaceae.